UGCUGCGCUCUCGCGCGGUGCGCCCCGAGCGCUGCCGUUGUGCCGGGCUUCGUGUUGGGUGUUCUCUCAGGACGCCUUUGUACUUUCUGGACCUCCAGACUUAGUGCAAGAAACAGUGUUACCGUGUUAGCUGCGCAGGUUCUUUUCUAAGGAAUUUUGAAACAGAUUAUCUCUUGUGGACAACAAAAUACUACAUGAUCACUCAAAGCCAUUACCUGUGGGGGGGAGGAAAGAUUUGAUAAAGAGAGCUGACAGUCCAGAGAGAUGUCCACAUGAUGGUGAUUGGCUUCUGGGGAAACAAAGAAAUAAAUAAAAGAACACUUGCAAAACACACAAAUAGCAAGGCAUUAUGGAGGAAAAAAAAAUGGAAGACAAGUCAGAGAAACUCCAGGUUAUCACAGAAUCACAGAAUGGCCAGGGUUGGAAGGGACCUCAAGGAUCACGAAUCUCCAACACCCUGCCACAUGCAUGGCCACCGUUUUGUACAGCUAUGGUAGAGUUACAGAUGAGCAUUAAUCCAUACAUUUAUGCACACCUUCUACUCGAAGGAAAUUU
Long non-coding RNA from Meleagris gallopavo (turkey), 555 nucleotides. RefSeq lists it as uncharacterized. The record is from RefSeq and is a predicted model, not a curated record. NCBI's taxonomy places the organism in Eukaryota, Metazoa, Chordata, Aves, Galliformes, Phasianidae.